RNAcentral lists this long non-coding RNA (774 nucleotides) under Capra hircus (goat). RNAcentral describes it as "lncRNA (ENSCHIG00000008106.1)". The record is from RNAcentral. Lineage: Eukaryota; Metazoa; Chordata; Mammalia; Artiodactyla; Bovidae.
GUCACUUUUCUCAGUUGUAAAGUAAGGGGCUCUGAUCUCCAACCCUCUCCACUGGAAUGUAAGGGGACAAUGAGAUAAUGUUUCUGGAGCCCUUGAAGCCACUUAGCCUAAGGAUGCUGUACAGAGGCUGAAGUGUCUGUAGAAAUGCAGAUAGAUACACAGUGAAAUUAACAAAUGGGAAGCCUGGAAGAAGAGGUGGGACUUUUCCUGCAGGAGGUACAGAGCGUCAGCUUUGUGACGUGACAGUGAAACCAAGUUCUCCACUGGGGAAGCGGGGGCCCUGAAACAUCACUUCUCCUCUGAAGUGGCUGGAAAAGUGGGGUGCCAGAAGCGAAGGUGGGAUCUGUGUGCUCUAAAUUGGAUUUAUGCUGCUCUGGUAGAAUGAAGACGGCACUCUAUUUGAAGAUUUUUUUUUAAUAUGACAUCCUGGGCGUGAAAUAAAGAUACUGUACUCUAUACAGUACUGUAUAGUACAGGACAGAGAAACAGCCACAUGUGGAGGAUCCAUGUGCGUGACAACGUGUGCCGGACACGUGAACUAACUUAUGUGACUGGACAUGCGAAUGCACACUCACAUCUUUCAAAGUUCGCAAAUUGAAGAACUCAUUGUCCAGAACUGGAAUUAGUUACCAGGCCUCAUCUAAGCACAAGAGAAGCAGCUCGUACAUUCUGCCAGGUAGUACCAUUCUACUAGGGACCCAGAAGGGACUUCGAGGAGGACAGAAACAUCUAAAGAGCAGCAGUAGUGGCUGUCACAUCUUGAAAAGCACAUGA